GCAUCGGUGGUUCAGUGGUAGAAUACUCGCCCACUAAGCGAGCGACCUGAGCUCGAUUUCUGGCCGAUACA
Henosepilachna vigintioctopunctata is the source of this 71-nucleotide non-coding RNA. The record is from the annotation of a GenBank genome assembly. Lineage: Eukaryota; Metazoa; Arthropoda; Insecta; Coleoptera; Coccinellidae.